AGCGAACGCUGGCGGCAGGCUUAACACAUGCAAGUCGAGCGGGCGUAGCAAUACGUCAGCGGCGCACGGGUGCGUAACGCGUGGGAAUAUGCCCUUCACUGCGGAAUAACGUUUGGAAACGAACGCUAAUACCGCAUAAUGACUCCGGUCCAAAGAUUUAUCGGUGAAGGAUUAGCCCGCGUUAGAUUAGCUAGUUGGUGAGGUAAUGGCUCACCAAGGCGACGAUCUAUAGCUGGUCUGAGAGGAUGAUCAGCCACACUGGGACUGAGACACGGCCCAGACUCCUACGGGAGGCAGCAGUGAGGAAUAUUGGACAAUGGGGCGAACCCUGAUCCAGCAAUGCCGCGUGGGUGAUGAAGGCCUCGG
RNAcentral lists this ribosomal RNA (366 nucleotides) under uncultured bacterium. Its description in RNAcentral is "bacterial SSU rRNA". It matches the Rfam family "Bacterial small subunit ribosomal RNA", at positions 29 to 420 of the family's 1533-position model. The record is from RNAcentral.